This 231-nucleotide long non-coding RNA is filed under the name Elaeis guineensis (African oil palm). RNAcentral describes it as "long non-coding RNA (EGUI_LNC030913)". The record is from RNAcentral. Lineage: Eukaryota; Viridiplantae; Streptophyta; Magnoliopsida; Arecales; Arecaceae.
CAUAUUGAUAAUUAGCAGUAUAAAUAUCAUAGGUCAUUGACACUCUACAAUUUAAGGAUUCUAAUAAUUUUUGAAGUCCAAUUAUCAUUUCAAUAUAUUACUUCAUUGCUUCUCCAUGAAUGGUUUCCUACGAAUUCAUCUAUAUUGGGGUUGUAAACCCUGUUGGAUAUAUCGCUCUAAUUUUUCUGACUCUGCUCUUAUAAAUGGUUCUUCCUCAUGAAUUAUCCACCC